Propithecus coquereli (Coquerel's sifaka) is the source of this 115-nucleotide small nuclear RNA. Its record names the gene U5. It matches the Rfam family "U5 spliceosomal RNA". From Rfam's summary of the family: U5 RNA is a component of both types of known spliceosome. The precise function of this molecule is unknown, though it is known that the 5' loop is required for splice site selection and p220 binding, and that both the 3' stem-loop and the Sm site are important for Sm protein binding and cap methylation. NCBI's taxonomy places the organism in Eukaryota, Metazoa, Chordata, Mammalia, Primates, Indriidae. The record is from Ensembl.
AUACUCUGGUUUCUCUUCAGAUUGUGAAAUCUUUUGGCUUUUACUAAAGAUUUCCGAGGAGAUAAACAAUUCUGAGUCUUAACCCAUUUUUUUGAGGUCUUGUGUUUGCAGGGCU